This is a long non-coding RNA of Hibiscus syriacus, 1562 nucleotides long. RefSeq lists it as uncharacterized. The record is from RefSeq and is a predicted model, not a curated record. Lineage: Eukaryota; Viridiplantae; Streptophyta; Magnoliopsida; Malvales; Malvaceae. The transcript is spliced from 4 exons.
UCAUGCAGACUUUUUUUAAUUUAACUGAAAUGCUCUGUUUAUUGUGCUGGUUCGACGAUCCUUGUUCGAGAAUCAAUAGGGUUUAUUUUGAUUUUGAUGCAUUUCUUAACUGGGUUAUCCUGUUUGUUAUUAUUUGUAUGUUUAGUGUUCUAUUUUGGGAGCCUGUGUUACUUAGGGUUUUGAGAAUUUGUCCCCAUUCGAUGGUUUAUGUAGAAUGAUUUGAUCUUGUUUUCUUCAUUCAAUUCUGAAAUGCAUUUUUCACUGAAGAUUGUUUUCACAUUAUUGAUUUGUAUUCUUUUGGGGGUGCAUUGUAAGCAUGUUGAAUUUUGUUUGAAUGUUGUUGGAAAUUUGAAUUCUUUGGGGGAUGUAGUGGGGUAAGUUAAGAUCCCUGAAAUGACAGCCUGCAUUUUUGUAGACUUAAAUUAGGUGGAGAGUUCCGGGUAUGAUCUGGUUUUGAAUGGAAGCAAUUCUAAAAUGAGUAAAAUGUGACAGUUUUGGGUAAUAUAAAUUAAGUUUAAGCUAGAGAUUUGACAUGGUUGUUAUUUUAAUUGUUUCAGCCUGCAUUAAACUGUCAGAACAUGGUAUGGGAGUACUUCCAUUUUAUUUCUAAAAGUUUUAUUGAAUUUUAAAUGCUUUAAAUUUGAAUCAUAACCCUUGGAAUUUGAAUUAUUUAAUUCAACAACACUUGGCAUUUAUAGUAUCCCGAGGAUUGGAACGAAACGCCUGGUCCAAUGCAAACAAAGAAACGAAUUUCUGGAAGAAUUGCUUCCUGAGAUCAUGCCAGUCCCAAGGCUUCAAGGUCUCAGAAGAAGGUAUCUGAGAAGGUACACGGUCCAGGGAAGAAAGUAACGGAGCUAAUUAAAUUUUCCGUUAGGAAGCAGAAACCUGCCAGGACACUCCCAAAACAAAAUGAAGUGCCUGUUGAGGCUACAAAUUUAAAUGCUAGAUAUGCCUUGCAGCAUGAUGAUGCUUCUGAUGCUUGUCUUGGAUUUGAUGUGGCUAAUGGUGUUCACGUAGUCCACGGGGACACCGAACACCAUAUGUCUGGUAGGACCGGUACUAUAUUUUCUCCAGGCUUCCACAUACCGAAGUUGCCCACCUACCACUCUAGUCUUGGACUUGGAUGAAACUUUGGUUCAUUCCUCACUAGAACCUUGCGAUGAUGCAGACUUCACAUUCCCUGUAAAUUUUAAUCACCAGGAACACACUGUUUAUGUUAGAUGCCGUCCUCACCUAAGAGAUUUUAUGGAACAAGUUUCCGGUCUUUUUGAGAUAAUUAUAUUUACAGCAAGUCAAGGCAUAUAUGCUCAACAACUACUAAAUGUGCUUUGUGUUUUAAAAAGCGCGCCUGAGGCGCUAGGCGAGGCGAGGCGUUUAGAAGAAAGCCUCCGACCACCAAGGCGGCGGCGAGUACAUGAGGCGGCGAUUCAGUUGUCAGAGGCGGCGAGAGGCGACGAGGCGAUGCUUUUGGCGAUUCACGUACAAUGACCCAUUUCUUUCCUUCUUUCAUUUUAGCAGCGCUUUGUUGUUGUUGUUCUUUCUCGUCCUUUGGCUUGGGUUUU